This is a long non-coding RNA of Mirounga angustirostris (Northern elephant seal), 5591 nucleotides long. RefSeq lists it as uncharacterized. The record is from RefSeq and is a predicted model, not a curated record. Lineage: Eukaryota; Metazoa; Chordata; Mammalia; Carnivora; Phocidae. The transcript has 2 exons.
CAGGGAGGUUCGAGAAUAUUCAUUGUUGUGCCUCCAGGGGGAACGUUGUGAGGAUUUGGGGGGACAGCUGCAUUGCUUUUGGAAGCAAACUGACCCCUGUCCAGAGCUAACCGUUGGAAUGCAAGUGAGACAAGCCCAUGGCUCCUUCUCCUUGGCCAACACUCUUGUCACUUCUGACUGGAGAUGCACACUUUUCUCCACGUGUUCCCAUUUUUGCUUCCAGAAAGUUGGGGUGUGUUGUUGGAAGGGCAGACUUGAGUUGGAUGUCACUGAAAAUUCUGUUUGUGUGGUACAGUCUCUUACGGCUUAGGCCACUUUUUCUGAGAGUGCUGCUCCUCUCUGCCCUCAUCCGUGGUCUUAGUCUACUUGGUGAAUUGCGCUUCUUAGGUUACAUAUGUACUUACGUGUUUGUAGAAGCAGAAUACAUAAUGACAUUUCAGGUGUCUGGGGAAAAAUUAUAAUGUGACUGCCCUUGUGCCAGAGACUAAAAUUUUGUAGAAAACCCAGCUCUCUUCAUAUGACAUAACCUGCUGCGUAAGCUCUUUGUCUUCCGUGAGCCAUUGUUCAGGUACUCUGAGGUAGACGUCGUCCACUCCCUCAGGGAGAUUCCUGACCAAUCAUCCUAGAUUAGUGAUAGAUUUUUCCAGAGCAACAACAGUCUGCUUUGAAAGGCCUUAAGGUACCAGAGUGAACCCCAACCUAGAAUGUGGAAUAUCUUUCUGAAUAUGAAGACUGUCAUCCUCACUGAGAAUUUAGGAACAGUCUCUCUCUCUCUCUGUCUCUUUUUCUCUGUAUUGUUCUCUCUUCUAUCAUACAAAGAAAUGUUUUGUUUUUUUUGCGGGGGGGAUUGUGUGUAUGUGUGCGGUGUGUGGUGUGUGUGUGUGAGAGUCAUAAUGGGAAGUGUUAGUUUGGAAACGAGCUUUUCAAUUUUUCACCCACCUUACUAAACCGUACGUUAAGAGAAAUAAAAGCGAAUCAUUUUGAAUUAAUGCUUUAAAAAAAUUCUCCAGAUAAUCAGUGUUCAAGUUUCGAUUAAUAUACAGUAAAUCAUGAUUUUUCUAUAAGAGUGCCAAGGCAUUACUGGUGAAUUCGUUUUUCUGGCUAACAGUAGAUUCACCGGAUCUUUCCUUUUUCUCUUUGAAUAUGUUUCUUUUAAAUGUACUGGUCCCCUUUCCUACCCUAGGAAAGAACAUGGGGAAUGUAAUCGAAUCUUUCUUUGAGGUUUGAGGAUCUUACAGUGCCAUAGGGUCACUGUUCUGAGGAUGAAUUCUGAUUGUACAUUAUAGAACUGUGAAUGGGGACAGUGUCAGAGACUGGACUAAAUCUGCCCUGAUCCCAGCUUGGAAAUUGUUUUCUUUUUCUGUUAAAUCCUCAAUAUCAGUAUGUUUUGUUAUUUGCCUUUCUUGGUCUCUAACUUGCAAGGAGCAAAACGGAAAUUCACUUUAAUUAGUUGAUUCUGGUUAAUUGAGGUUUUUACUUUCUAGGAAAAUUUCAACCUGAAUCUAGAGCCUUAACGCUUUCCCUGCAGUUAACAGAGGAUGUAAAAUCAUUCUUAGAUGUUUAGGAAGACUGUUGUAUUUACAAAUAAGUUAUGUAAUGUAUUACCAUAGCAUUGUGUAACUUCACCCCCAUGUAAUAAUGGUAGAUAGAAAUAUCGGCUAAUUUUGCCUCUUCCUUAGAUAUAUUGAGAGGGUAUCAUAAAUCCUAAAAACUAGGAAAUUCUAGGGUUGGAGGGAAGACUUUCAAGAAUAUCAAUAAAGAACAUUUAAAUUCCCCCAAAGGAAAUUCUCCUUUAAAGCCUGGGCCUUUGUUCACUGGACCAGUAUGGAAAGCAUGCCCAGGAUGGCACCAUCAGAGGCUGACUUUCUCAGGGCCGUCCCAUGUGAUUUAAUGGUAGUCUGUGGUUAUCUUCUGAUAUCCUUGUUGUCCCAGCAUUGCAAAUUCAUCUUAGGGGUCGUGGUGUUCUUUUGUGACAGCCCAGUUAUUAUUAUUAUUAUUGUUGUUGUUUUGGUUUUGGUGUAAGAACAUCAAGGAAAUUGUCUAGAGAAGUCCAUAGAAGAGGGGAAUGGAGCGUGAUGAGGAAUAACUGAGCCACGUCUCGUGGCUUGCUUUUUGUUCCCGCUUUUAUGUGCCAACAUGAAAAGGAAUUGCAGGUAACAGUUCCCUUGUGUUGGUGGAAGAACAGUUGUUUUUUGGUUUUUUGCCUUUUUUUUUUCCUUUCUUCCCCUACCAGAUGUUUAUGGCCUUCAUUGACAUGUCAUUAUUACAUUACAGACUGUCUUAUCACAGUAUGUCCUGUGGCACAUUGACAAUGGCGUGGCCCUGUGGUUUCCUGGUGAUUGUCUCGUCCACAGAACUGAGGCCCUGGUGGCCAGCUGCAGAGCCCUCUCCAGGGUCCACCACCAGUUGAGAGUACAGGUCUCCCACACCCUUGAAGGUGCCGGAGGACUGCAGGCCAGGCCAGGGAGUUUCUGUACCAGCGCUGUUCUCCCCGAAGCUCAAUCAGAGGCUGGAACAGAGUAGGAAUGCGUGUGGCAUAGAGGAUUUAUAAUCUCCCAGCUUCGAAUCAUCUCUAGCAAUGUUACUGGGCAUUUGCGUUUUGGUUGUGAACUAUCUGAAAGUUUUUUGAAAUAAUCAGGAAGUUCCCCCAUUCACGAACCGACCAUCAUAGAUGAAACUCGUCUGGGGUGCAAGGAAGGGUGCUACUUAGUACAGGAUCCUCAAGCCUGUGAAAGAGGCAGCGCACUGUUAAAAAUACCUAGCUUACUUCGGGGGAGGAUUUGGCUGAAUACUGAUGAAGUUUAUGAAAUAUGAAUGUAGUGAAGUUGCUGUACGUAAGUGGUAGGCGUGUGUGAAAGAAGUAAGAAGAAAUAAAAUUGUGUAUAAAUGACACUCUGAAACUUGAUGGAAUUGUAUACGUGACAGGAAUGGUGACGUUUGGGUCCGUGCUUAAUGGGGGAAAAUAAACUGACUUAAAAAUCUGUAUGUCAAACUAGAUGUGGGGCUAAAAAUUACAGAAUAUAAAAUUAUUGGACUUAUGAGCAAAGAGCGCUACCAAGGAUAAAUAGGCAGAUUGCAAAGGAUAGAGGUGAAACAGAAUGGGGGGAAAAUGAGGGGCCAAUACUUGAAUUUAUAAUGAGCUAUGGUAAUCACUGCUUUAAAUAAUCCAGACUAUUAACUACUGUGCUGCUAGGUAGAGAAUGAGUUAUAGCCAAACAAAAGGCAUAAAUAUGAAUUUUAGGUUGUAUGGGAGAAAUCCUCUUGAUCCCCAAAGCAUAAAUGCAUGUACUGAGAAGCAAAGCUGCACACGAUGUAAUUUUUUUCUGUCUUGUCCUGAUUAAUUGACAGCCAACUGUAUGCCUCUUUCCUGAAGGUGACUUUACAAUCUCCAGACACAGACAUUUCUCUCAGAAGUGGAGUGAAGGAAGGAGAACCACAAGCUAAAGGCAAUGAAAAGAGGAAAAGUUGACACUUUGAGAAGUUAUGACGAACUUGUCGAGAAUGCCAAUUGACAAAGGCAGGUAAGGGAAUACUUGGAAACACAGAACAAGAACAGUUCUGAAGGGCAUGAUGAUCUGCUUCCUAGUGUGUUAAGGGAAUUGGCGGGCAUGUUUAUUGACUCUUCCAAUUAGUUUUAAAGAAACCUGAAGAAAUGGACAAAGAUGGAGAGAAGACAGCCAGAUGUGAUUCUGCCCUUCCAGAAGCAGAGAAGCUUCUCUCAUCCCAUGUGAUCGAUGCCAGGCCUGGGGAAGACUGUCUGUAUAGCAGUUAAUGGAUUUUCAACAUACAAAUCACAGAAGAAACAAGGGUAUAUUUAGCAAAUCUAAAAACUCUUCAAUAAACUGUAUUGCUUUUCAUUUUCACUGUACAGUCCAUGAAGCCAGUGUAUGGUAAGAAGGCCGCGGUAAGGAUACAGCGGUGUACUCCCAGGAACGUUUGUGUGAUGGGGAUAUUAUGUCUGAAAGGACAGGGCAUCUGGGAGGAUGAACUGCCCGUAGCUCUCAAUUGUCUGGGUAAUGAAGCAUUGGAAAGCAAAGGCAAGGGAAACACUUUGAUAAUCAAAAAUGAUUCUUCUUUUAGUGAUCAUAUUAGUUGACCAGUGAGGACAAGUGUGAAGGUGCGAGUUGCAUUUUACCCUCUCCAGCACCUGUGGCCCACUUCUCACGAGCACGUGGAUGCAGAAAGCGGGAACCCUGACAAUUUCUGGAGACCAGCCUGUUAACCUGGAAGAUGUAAAAUUUCACAAUUUCACAGCGUGAAGGAGGGAGGUUGAAGAUUAGCGAGGCUCUCACAUUUCUUGAGGCCCUGCAGAGAAUCAGUAGAAGAACUGAUGCGACGCCGAGAGGCUCUAGCAAGUUUCCUAAUCUCGAGCUCGAGGGUGUGUGCUCGGUGUGGGGUUGCUUGCUCAUGAUGCUGGCAUUGGUCAUGCUUUAUUAGCCCAAAGCCUGUUAGAGCCAGAAGGGGCCUUAUGAAUCAUCCAGCCUGGCCUUCCUCCUUUACACUGACGCCCACAGAGGUCUAAUAAUGCAUUCGAGGUCCCAUUCCCAGUAAGUAGCAAGGGAUACGGGUCUUCUACUUCCAGUGUUCCUUCCACUCAUGUGCUGUGCCGAGAUGUUCAGAAAUUCCAGUAAGGUACAGAAUCAAGUUCCUGCCCCGCCAGGGGAGCCCCCUGAGGAUAUUACAGUGUGUACGCAAGUUCAUCCAGCAGGAGGUGGUUGACGUGUGUGGAAGUUUGUGCACGUUAUGUUGGUUGUGCAUCAGUAAUGGAACAUUAUCAAUAAUGGUUAUGUUUUCCAGUCCCACUGGGCAUUUUUAUUAUUGUAGCAAAAUUAGCCAGUGAACUGGUGGUGGUAUUAAUAGAGCCAUUCUAAAGCAUAGUGAAGAUAGUGCUGGUGCCUCACGCGCUGCUGAAUCGGUAGAACGUAAAAUAGAGGCUCUGGAGGGGAGCAUCUGGUCGUUGGUCCCGGCCUGGGCAGUGAUGCUUGCUGGAGCUGGACGCAGCCAGAGGGUAGAGUGGGGGAGGCUGGCUCUUGGCAGCUGCCGCUUUUCCCAAGACAGAGGGUGUAAGGCAAGUGCCUUUUACAGAGAUGCUCAGCAGCAGUUCCACCCACGGAAUACUAUGUAGCCAGUAAAAAUCCUGUUGUAGUAGAAAAAUCUCUCUUGAUAAGGGAAAAUGUCAUCUGUUCGUGAAAAGUAAUAACCUUCAUAGCAGUGUGCACAGAAUGACAUCAUUUUUGUAAAAAACUAUAGUGUGUGUGUAUUAAUAUGGACCCACGUACACCUUAAUGAUGAAAUGAUAAAAUGGUUAUUUCCGGUGUGAGUUUUUUUUCUUUGUGCUCUUCUGUAUUUUUUACUUUCCUGCCUUAUACGUGUAUUACUUUUGUAACUAGAAAAAAAUAAAUCUUACUUUUUUUUCUCCAAAAAGAUUGUUUGUAUGUUGUGAAACUGGGGGUACUUUGAAGGAACUAAUUCUGAACUUAGUAUGUUACGUGGAAUUUCUUGAUGUUUUAGGAUGGGCCAAGUUUACUGGCCCAAAGAGUAGUACCUCUGACAGUCACAUUCAGCCAGGAUUGUCAGGAAGACAAGGGUCA